AGAGUUUGAUCCUGGCUCAGGACGAACGCUGGCGGCGUGCCUAACACAUGCAAGUCGAGCGAUGAAAUCCCUUCGGGGGUGGAUUAGCGGCGGACGGGUGAGUAACACGUGGGUAACCUGCCUCAAAGAGGGGGAUAGCCUCCCGAAAGGGAGAUUAAUACCGCAUAACAUUAGUUUUUCACAUGGAAGACUAAUUAAAGGAGUAAUCCGCUUUGAGAUGGACCCGCGGCGCAUUAGCUAGUUGGUGAGGUAAAGGCUCACCAAGGCGACGAUGCGUAGCCGACCUGAGAGGGUGAUCGGCCACAUUGGAACUGAGACACGGUCCAGACUCCUACGGGAGGCAGCAGUGGGGAAUAUUGCACAAUGGGCGAAAGCCUGAUGCAGCAACGCCGCGUGAGUGAUGAAGGCCUUCGGGUUGUAAAGCUCUGUCUUUGGGGACGAUAAUGACGGUACCCAAGGAGGAAGCCACGGCUAACUACGUGCCAGCAGCCGCGGUAAUACGUAGGUGGCAAGCGUUGUCCGGAUUUACUGGGCGUAAAGGAUGCGUAGGCGGAUAUUUAAGUGAGAUGUGAAAUUCCCGGGCUUAACUUGGGAGCUGCAUUUCAAACUGGAUAUCUAGAGUGUGGGAGAGGAGAAUGGAAUUCCUAGUGUAGCGGUGAAAUGCGUAGAGAUUAGGAAGAACACCAGUGGCGAAGGCGAUUCUCUGGACCAUAACUGACGCUGAGGCAUGAAAGCGUGGGUAGCAAACAGGAUUAGAUACCCUGGUAGUCCACGCCGUAAACGAUGAGUACUAGGUGUAGGGGGGUCCAACCUUCUGUGCCGCAGUUAACACAAUAAGUACUCCGCCUGGGAAGUACGAUCGCAAGAUUAAAACUCAAAGGAAUUGACGG
RNAcentral lists this ribosomal RNA (890 nucleotides) under uncultured bacterium. RNAcentral's name for it is "bacterial SSU rRNA". It matches the Rfam family "Bacterial small subunit ribosomal RNA", at positions 8 to 916 of the family's 1533-position model. The record is from RNAcentral.